Non-coding RNA from Myodes glareolus (Bank vole), 4451 nucleotides. NCBI's taxonomy places the organism in Eukaryota, Metazoa, Chordata, Mammalia, Rodentia, Cricetidae. The record is from RefSeq and is a predicted model, not a curated record.
AGAGAGAGAGAGAAGCCUAAUAGAGGCCAGAGCCAAACUCGCUGUUGACCUUGACUCUUCUUAGAAGUGUGGAGAGUUAGCUUCUGCUGUUGGGGACUUCAGAAUGUGGUACCUCUGGUGGCCCCGGAGAGCUAGCGUAGGCCUCUGAGCACCGUGUUGCUCUCCUUCCUCUUCCACAGCUAAGAUGGCACCCUUGAGUGGCACCGGCUUGAUGCAGGGUCUCUUUUUGUUUUGUUCUAGAUGGUCUUGAUUUGGGAGACAAGAACUCGCCACACGGACUCGAUUUCAUCUUCAGUUUUGUCCUUUGACAUUUCCAAAUAAAAUACAUGAAACCCUUCACACUUCAAUUUUAGAUAGAUUCUUAGUAUGGGUUUAUGCCAAAAGUAUGUACCAAAAAUACUUUAUCUGUCAUUCAAAUUCAACAGGAAUCCAAAUCCCCUUUAUUUUGUCUGAUAAAUUUGGAGUCUUGUCCUUCCUGUUUUUUCCCAGUGUGCCUUAUGUUACAGUGGCGGGAGAACAAUCUCAACGUAGUGUUAGGUGGACCCUUCCAUACUAUGACCCAGCCAGAGGACCUGUUUGUUUAUUUACUUGUUCGUUCAUGUGUUUGUUUUUUAAAAACAUCCUCACAUAGUCAAGGGUGGCCUCACACUGUAUUGUACCCAGGGCUAUCUUGAGUUGUUGAUCCCCUUGGCCUAGGAGAUCUGGGAUUACAGGCAGCCACCAUGGCACCUGUAGCACCCAUGCCACUAUAGGACAUUACGUGAGCCAGGAACUAGGCUGGAGACUUAAAAACACAUGCACACAGACAGACAGAGACACGGGGAAACGGGUCAUCCUUGAUACAAGAAUGCCAACUUUAUUGUGCCCCAGGGAAGCUUGUAGGGACCCUUAACUGAUAGCCAUGCCCCAGCUCUCGGGAUCAUUCAGCUGCAUCAGGAGAUGCCAUCAGGGUCUCGUGCUCAGAGCAGCUGCAGGCACAGGGGUUUUGCUCAGUUCACUCCAGCAGGCAAGGGGUCUGAGGCAGGCAAAGAAAGUCAGGGGGCCAGGAGUCUGCAGCUCCCAACAACACCCAGUUGAGGAAGUGCUGGGAACGGAACCCACACUUUGUGCAUGCUUGGCACAUUCUACUAACUGAACUACAGCCCCAGCCUCAACACGAUCUUUUUAAAAAGCUCACGGGUGAUUUUACUGCACAGCCGGGGGCUAGGACCAACCACCAUAUGGAGGGAUGGGGAUUAACUGUUAUUAACUGAAUGUUGGCUAUCAGGUCAUUGGAUUGGGGCUCCUUUAAGUUGAAGCACUUGUAAGUUUUGUUCUGCUCGGAGAAGUAUCAACUUAUCAGAAGUAUCAACUUCUGAGCCCAGAGGCCAGAGGUCAAGGAGAUCAUGAAGAAAUAGCUGCCAGUGUGUGAAAUGGUCAUCUUAUUCGGGUCAACUGAGCCCAUAAAGCUGUAUCACUGACACCACUGUGCCAGCUGACCCCCCGCUCUGACCCUUCAGGUUGGGAGCUAACGAGUGCGGCUGGGCAUCCUGGGGAAAGAUUUACCUGCUGCAAUUCCUUUUCUUACAGUCCAGUGCUCGAGACUGUGGAGGUUUUUUUAAGCACACUUCUACUUCAAGAGGAGUUAAACAUGACUUCAUUCAGUCUUUUCAGCUUCGAAGAUUUGCCCCUUUUAGCCGUCGAUCAGCUAAACCUUACCUGUUCCUCAGUGUCUGCUGAAAUAUUCAUAGACGGUAAAGGCACGAUUGGUGUCAGCCUUGAACACCAGCAGUCUCAUAGCCAUGCUUGCUCUGAAGAUCAGCAGAUGACUAAGCCACCGGAGAGGCGGAAUAGCUCAGGAGCUCUCCACAGAGUUCUUUGCCUAGAGAAGUGUUACCAAUUGGACUGUCAGGCAGACUCCGGGACAGUCCUGUUCCUUGGGCUUUGUGUUUUACUUGAUCUUUGUGCACACAGCUCUGAUAGUAGGGCACUACUCAAAAAUAAUCAGCAAUGGCUGUUUAACAUUAUAGCUACCUGAGAAAAGUCAUAGUUGAGAAUAAAAAGAGUCUGAUAAAAAUAAAACAAAACCCUGAGAAAGAAAAAAUCUGUAAAUGAGAUAUUUACCCAGGGCUUUGAAAAAGCACCAACAUGUUACUGGAGGUUUAAAUGCUCUCAAGAAGGUACCAGGCAAUGUGUGCUCCCAGCUAAACCCCGAGAAGGUUCAACAGUACAUCUCAGGCUGCUCUCCAGGCUCCACGUGACCAUGGAAAGAAGGCUGAGCUACAACCGAAUGCUGCUCACUACAGCAUUGAAUGUGUGUCCCAGAUGUGAUGGAAAACUUCACGCAUCCAAGAAACUCAGUGAAUUCUAUGCAGGGUACAUGAGAGGGACCCACACCUACUCAAGAUUAUCAAAGCACCUAGAGAAGAGUGACUUAGCAUACAGAAGACACUCUCCGUAAGGCUAACAGCAAACAUCAGCCAUCAUGGAGACGAAGUAAAGAGAUGACAUAUUAAAAAUGCUGCAAGGGAAAAAGAACUGUUGACCAAUAAUUGCACAUUUAGCAAAACGCUUUCAAAAAUGAAAGAGAAGCUGGGCAUGGAAGAGGCUGAGGCAGUGAGAUCACAAGUUCAAGACAAACCUAGAUUACCCUCAAGGAAGAAAAAUUAUGACAUUCUCAAGUAACUGAUGCAUUCUUUUCUUGUAAGAUUGGUUUUAUAAGAAUCAUUAAAGGAUUCAGGCUGAAUGAAAGAACACUUGAUAUCAAUCUAAAGCCCCAUGAAGAAAUAAAUACCAGUGACACAAAUAGUAAGGAUUCUUCCACAUAAUUUAAGUGGUAACUGCAGAAAUAUUCGACUGUUGAUAUAAUUAUAGAGAUAUGCAAUUUGUAUGACAAUAACACAAGGAGGGAGAAGAAUGGGAGUACAUGUUGGAGCAAAAAUGUUCACACUAUUGAAAUGAAGUUUCUAGUAAUUAAAAUUAUAGUGCUUAAGUUAAGAUGUUAAUGGAACACCCUCCAGGCAACAACUGUGAGGAUAAUUCAAGCUAGAAAAAAACCAAGGAAUUUAAACGAGUAUUAAAAAUUGUUUUAUGAACAAGAAGGCAGUAAGAGAAACAUAAAGGAGCAAGAAGGACCUAGAAAACAAAUACUGAAAUGAAGGACAUAAGCCCAUUUAUAUGAGAGGUGACUCCAGGAUCCGUACACUAAGUAGACACUCUAGAACAAACUCACAUCCAAAGCUUCCAGGAAAUCCUAUCUCACCAGUAAUUACAUUAAACUUACUUGGGCUAAAUUUUCCAACCAAAUGUCAGAGACUAGGAUGGAGAGUUGGUUCGGCAGUCAUGCACACUUGUUGCUCUUUGGCUUCCACCACUCAUGUGGAAGCUCACAGUCAUCUAUAACUUCAGUUCCAGGGCAUGUGAUGCCCUCCUCUGACCUCUGAGGGCAGAGACACACAUGUGGUGCACAUACAUACAUGCAGGCAAAACCUAAAACACAUAAACAUAAGCAUAACAUUUUUUUUCAAGGCAGAAAUUGGCAUAAUGAAUAAAAAACUAUAGAAUUAGAGUUCAUUUGCAAGGCAUACUUAGAAUAAGAAAUACAAACAAAGCUGGACGCGAAAGAAUGGGGACAGAGGUACUGUGAAGAACAAGGAGACACAAGCCGGAGUGGCUUCUGCAGAGAUGGGAUGAAACAGCCUUCGGACAAAAACAUGCUGCUGGAAAGAAAGGACAUUUUAUGGUGAUACAAAGAUCAGUCCAUGAGGAGAACAUAAGAAUUAUAAAUGUAAGUGUACUUAAUAGAGCCUAAGCCCCAAAAUACACCCAACAAAACCUUACAGGUAAAAAUCUUUAAAGGGAAAUAGAUAAUCGAAGAGUAAUUUAACAUCCCACUUCCAGUCGUGGAUAAAACAAGCAGAUAGAAAGUUCACAAAGACGCAGAAAACUUGAACAAUACGCUGAGCCAAAUCUAAGAAAUUUCUAGAAGACUUUUACACAGCAAUAGUAGACUAUGUAUCCAUCCCAUAAUACAGGGAGCCUUCUUCAGGACCAGACCACACAGCAGGCCAUUGAAGAGCCCCCAAUUAGAGGGUUGAAAUCAUGUGCAGUCUGUUCUUUGGCUGAAAGAGAACAUAGUUAUUAUUCGUUUGUAGAAAGCAGGAACUUUUACCUAAGAAGAAAAAUUUUAAAAAUCCAUAAAUCAAGCUUAUGGCACAGGGCAAAAUGAAUAGUAAGGACGUCCAGGCUUCUUUUUGCUUUACAGCUGAAAGGUGGCAAACCAAGAGUUACCUCACUUGCUCCAAGUUAGAAACGUUCUUUCAGAAGUGACAGCGGAGUACAUGGCUGAGGUUGUGUUAGUGUUGAAGAAAUAUUGUAAAUUUAUAACUCUGGAACAAUCUUAGGAAUGCAAACUCGCACAUUUAUAAGUUACUCUGUUUAUAACUCAAUAAAACAAGAUAAAUGAUUAUGGA